Molecule: unclassified non-coding RNA, 364 nt
Filed under: uncultured bacterium
Lineage: Bacteria
Description: contains 16S-23S intergenic spacer region
Source: RNAcentral
UCCCCGUUGGCCGGGGCAGUCUCGUGUGAAAAAUACAACACACGACAAGGGUUGCGCUCGUUGCGGGACUUAACCCAACAUCUCACGACACGAGCUGACGACGGCCAUGCAACACCUGUCACUAGGCUCCCGAAGGCACCCCUCUGUUUCCAGAAGGUUCCUAGGAUGUCAAGCCUUGGUAAGGUUCUUCGCGUAGCUUCGAAUUAAACCACAUGCUCCACCGCUUGUGCGGGUCCCCGUCAAUUCCUUUGAGUUUUAAGCUUGCGCUCGUACUCCCCAGGCGGGAUGCUUAUCGCGUUAGCUUCUCAGCACAGAGGGUCGAUACUCCAUACUAAUAGCAUCCAUCGUUUACGGCGUGGACUAC